GGGGCUGUAGCUCAGUUGGCUAGAGCGCUCGCCUUGCAAGCGAGAGGCCGAGGGUUCGACUCCCUCCAGCUCCACCA
RNAcentral lists this transfer RNA (77 nucleotides) under Candidatus Omnitrophota bacterium. RNAcentral's name for it is "tRNA-Ala". It matches the Rfam family "tRNA". Rfam says of the family: Transfer RNA (tRNA) molecules are approximately 80 nucleotides in length. Their secondary structure includes four short double-helical elements and three loops (D, anti-codon, and T loops). The record is from RNAcentral. Lineage: Bacteria; Pseudomonadati; Candidatus Omnitrophota.